This 490-nucleotide ribosomal RNA is filed under the name uncultured bacterium. Its description in RNAcentral is "partial 16S ribosomal RNA". It matches the Rfam family "Bacterial small subunit ribosomal RNA", at positions 30 to 507 of the family's 1533-position model. The record is from RNAcentral.
AUUGAACGCUGGCGGCAGGCCUAACACAUGCAAGUCGAACGGUAACAGGAAGAAGCUUGCUUCUUUGCUGACGAGUGGCGGACGGGUGAGUCAUGUCUGGGAAACUGCCUGAUGGAGGGGGAUAACUACUGGAAACGGUAGCUAACACCGAAUAACUCCUGAAGCCCAAAGGGGGGGACAUUCGGGCCUUUUGCCAUCGGAUACGCCCAGAUGGGAUUAGCUAGUAGGUGGGGUAACGGCUCACCUAGGCGACGAUCCCUAGCUGGUCUGAGAGGAUGACCAGCCACACUGGAACUGAGACACGGUCCAGACUCCUACGGGAGGCAGCAGUGGGGAAUAUUGCACAAUGGGCGCAAGCCUGAUGCAGCCAUGCCGCGUGUAUGAAGAAGGCCUUCGGGUUGUAAAGUACUUUCAGCGGGGAGGAAGGGAGUAAAGUUAAUACCUUUGCUCAUUGACGUUACCCGCAGAAGAAGCACCGGCUAACUCCGUG